CUUGACGACCAUAGAACAUUGGAACCACCUGAUCCCAUCCCGAACUCAGCAGUGAAACGAUGUAUCGCCGAUGGUAGUGUGGGUCUCAUCGCUUACGCGUUGAGGGUUUUUGUUUUUA
This 118-nucleotide ribosomal RNA is filed under the name Pseudomonas syringae pv. actinidiae ICMP 19079. The record is from RNAcentral. Lineage: Bacteria; Pseudomonadati; Pseudomonadota; Gammaproteobacteria; Pseudomonadales; Pseudomonadaceae.